GGAUCGCCUUGUUGAGCAUAUAUCCUUUCCCAUCCAAACCAUCUCACCGAACCUGCUGGCCUCUCUCCGCUAUAUAUAAUAAAUAAAGCCCGUUCACUUUUAAUCGCACUGCCUUGUCUACACGACUACGGAUCUAACCGUUUAUAUGCGAAGCAACGGCAGCUGGCUCUUCUUGCUUACCAUUAUUGCCCAUCGAACGAGCUUCGUCUCCGCUAGUGAAUAAGGUGAAGGCCAGUAGGCCCGAGUUGGCAAAAAUUUUGAACAACAAUGAGCAGGGCAACAAACUGCUGGUGGUGGAGUUCGUGGAGAAAAGUAACGCGGCGUGCGAGUCCAUAAAGCCGGAGGUAGAGAGAAUUGCCUCCCGAUUUGCAAACGGCGCUGUAUUCUACGAGCUUGACUGCAGCAAUUUCAAGUUUCUUACAUCACGGCUUAAAGUUUCGACGGUGCCGAUGUUUCUGCUGAUGAGGAACCGCAAGGUGGAGAAGCAGUGCGACGUGGAGGACAUCUUUGUUGGCGUCAGAGCGGAGGAGCUGGAGAGCAGAAUCCAGAAUCACAUAGGGCCGCCGUCUGGUUCGUCCAACCAAGAUGCGAAGCUUAUACGGCUGAGCGGCUUCCCUUGGAUGACCAUACUCCUAUCCCACUAUCGGGCCCCAAAUUAUUUUUUAGAAAAAGGAUCACUCCCGCUUUAUUUUAGAGAAACAAAGUAAAGGUUUCAGGUUCGUACAAAUGAAAGCAAGUAGGAGUUCACAAGCUCCACAAAGUUUUCAUAGCUCUUAAGAAGCUAAGCAUCUAGCGAGACAACACCCGGUACGGAGGGAGCAACGUAGGGUGACUGAUCAGCCAUUACAUUCCCAUCUUCAUAGAACUCCUCCAGCGCUGCCUGCACGCCGGCAUUGAUACAGACCACCUAUCCAUCUGAUGCUACCAAAUCUGAUUGUGUCGCCGUCUAGGAGCUUAAGGGAAUUGUCGUCACCUGCCCACCCCAGGAAAGGCGCAGGGGACUGUAUAGUCUUGAUGUGAGGUCUUCCAUCACUUGGUCCAGGCCUUGCAAAUCUGCAGCUUUGCACAGAGCUCUCCAAUUUUUUAAGGUCUUGAUCAGUUUUGCCAGCAGAUCCUUCUGGCUUCUCCAUUGUUUUGCCUGAAAACAAAGGUCAUUACGCAUUUUCCAAGUGCACCACAUCAAUGCAGCGCAACAAGUGUUCAUGAUAGCAUUUUUUUAUUACUGAUCCACCACCUGACCACUGAUUCAAAGUCAGUGCCUAGAUUUCUUCCAAAGAUUUCAGAGAGGAUAAGCCACAUGGUUGUAGGCACACAGCAUUCAAAGAAUAAAUGAUGUACCGUCUCAGAUUCUGCACAGAAAAGGCAGCUGAGAUAAUCUAAAUUUUGUCU
Molecule: long non-coding RNA, 1389 nt
Organism: Panicum virgatum (switchgrass)
Lineage: Eukaryota; Viridiplantae; Streptophyta; Magnoliopsida; Poales; Poaceae
Exons: 3
Source: RefSeq, a predicted model, not a curated record